Molecule: non-coding RNA, 95 nt
Filed under: Williamsia sp.
Lineage: Bacteria; Bacillati; Actinomycetota; Actinomycetes; Mycobacteriales; Nocardiaceae
Also listed under: 1 other name
Description: TPP sequence
Rfam family: TPP riboswitch aptamer (THI element)
About the family: Vitamin B(1) in its active form thiamin pyrophosphate (TPP) is an essential coenzyme that is synthesised by coupling of pyrimidine and thiazole moieties in bacteria. The previously detected thiamin-regulatory element, thi box was extended, resulting in a new, highly conserved RNA secondary structure, the THI element, which is widely distributed in eubacteria and also occurs in some archaea.
Source: RNAcentral
GUGGGCGACACGGGGUGCCGAAUCCUCUCGGCUGAGAUCAGACCCGCUGAACCUGACCAGUUAGUACUGGCGGAGGGAUGUCCAUCAUGCCGUCG